This 427-nucleotide ribosomal RNA is filed under the name Serratia sp. 2-68. RNAcentral describes it as "bacterial SSU rRNA". It matches the Rfam family "Bacterial small subunit ribosomal RNA", at positions 355 to 774 of the family's 1533-position model. The record is from RNAcentral. RNAcentral also lists the same sequence under 2 other names. Lineage: Bacteria; Pseudomonadati; Pseudomonadota; Gammaproteobacteria; Enterobacterales; Yersiniaceae.
UGGGGAAUAUUGCACAAUGGGCGCAAGCCUGAUGCAGCCAUGCCGCGUGUGUGAAGAAGGCCUUCGGGUUGUAAAGCACUUUCAGCGAGGAGGAAGGGUUCAGUGUUAAUAGCACUGUUCAUUGACGUUACUCGCAGAAGAAGCACCGGCUAACUCCGUGCCAGCAGCCGCGGUAAUACGGAGGGUGCAAGCGUUAAUCGGAAUUACUGGGCGUAAAGCGCACGCAGGCGGUUUGUUAAGUCAGAUGUGAAAUCCCCGCGCUUAACGUGGGAACUGCAUUUGAAACUGGCAAGCUAGAGUCUUGUAGAGGGGGGUAGAAUUCCAGGUGUAGCGGUGAAAUGCGUAGAGAUCUGGAGGAAUACCGGUGGCGAAGGCGGCCCCCUGGACAAAGACUGACGCUCAGGUGCGAAAGCGUGGGGAGCAAACA